GAUGAACGCUGGCGGCGUGCCUAACACAUGCAAGUCGAACGGACUUACAUUGAAGCCUAGCGAUAUGUAAGUUAGUGGCGGACGGGUGAGUAACGCGUGGGUAACCUGCCUUGUACUGGGGGACAACAGUUGGAAACGACUGCUAAUACCGCAUAAGCGCACAGCUUCGCAUGAAGCAGCGUGAAAAACUCCGGUGGUACAAGAUGGACCCGCGUCUGAUUAGCUGGUUGGUGAGGUAACGGCCCACCAAGGCGACGAUCAGUAGCCGGCCUGAGAGGAGGGUCCCCCACAUUGGAACUGAGACACGGUCCAAACUCCUACGGGAGGCAGCAGUGAGGAAUAUUGGUCAAUGGACGAGAGUCUGAACCAGCCAAGUAGCGUGCAGGAUGACGGCCCUAUGGGUUGUAAACUGCUUUUAUAAGGGAAUAAAGUGGGAGUCGUGACUCUUUUUGCAUGUACCUUAUGAAUAAGGACCGGCUAAUUCCGUGCCAGCAGCCG
This 498-nucleotide ribosomal RNA is filed under the name uncultured bacterium. RNAcentral describes it as "bacterial SSU rRNA". It matches the Rfam family "Bacterial small subunit ribosomal RNA", at positions 28 to 517 of the family's 1533-position model. The record is from RNAcentral.